Molecule: ribosomal RNA, 465 nt
Filed under: uncultured bacterium
Lineage: Bacteria
Description: bacterial SSU rRNA
Rfam family: Bacterial small subunit ribosomal RNA
Source: RNAcentral
GGUUAACGCUGGCGGCGUGCCUAACACAUGCAAGUCGAACGGUUCUAAGCGCGAGCUUAGGAUAGUGGCGAACGGGUGAGUAAAAAGGUAGGAAUCUACCCCUUGGACGGAGAUAGCUACUGGAAACGGUAGGUAAACUUCGAUAAGCCCGAGAGGGGAAAGUGGUGAGACAGCCGAGGGAUGAGCCUACUCUCCAUCAGGUAGUUGGUGAGAUAAAAGCUUACCAAGCCGAUGACGGAUAACCGGUGUGAGAGCAUGAACGGUCACAAGGGCACUGAGAGACGGGCCCUACUCCUACGGGAGGCAGCAGUGGGGAAUCUUGGACAAUGGGCGAAAGCCUGAUCCAGCGACGCCGCGUGGAGGAAGAAGUCCUUCGGGAUGUAACUUCUGAACUAGCCGAAUAAAAGGACCUGUGGACACACAGGAGAAGAAAGUAAGGCUAGGAAAGUCCCGGCUAACUACGUG